CCUACGGGACGCAGCAGUGGGGGAUAUUGCACAAUGGGGGAAACCCUGAUGCAGCGACGCCGCGUGAGUGAAGAAGUAUUUCGGUAUGUAAAGCUCUAUCGGCAGGGAAGAAAAAGCGCGCGAGCGCCCUUGACAGUACCUGACUAAGAAGCCCCGGCUAACUACGUGCCAGCAGCCGCGGUAAUACGUAGGGGGCAAGCGUUAUCCGGAUUCACUGGGCGUAAAGGGAGCGCAGGCGGCAUGGCAAGUCUGAUGUGAAAACCCGGGGCCCAACCCCGGGGGUGCAUUGGAAACUGCCAGGCUGG
This 305-nucleotide ribosomal RNA is filed under the name uncultured bacterium. RNAcentral describes it as "bacterial SSU rRNA". It matches the Rfam family "Bacterial small subunit ribosomal RNA", at positions 338 to 644 of the family's 1533-position model. The record is from RNAcentral.